RNAcentral lists this ribosomal RNA (253 nucleotides) under uncultured bacterium. Its description in RNAcentral is "partial 16S ribosomal RNA". It matches the Rfam family "Bacterial small subunit ribosomal RNA", at positions 524 to 776 of the family's 1533-position model. The record is from RNAcentral.
UACGUAGGGGGCAAGCGUUGUCCGGAUUUAUUGGGCGUAAAGAGCGUGUAGGCGGCUAGGUAGGUCCGUUGUGAAAACUCGAGGCUCAACCUCGAGACGUCGAUGGAAACCAUCCAGCUAGAGUCCGGAAGAGGAGAGUGGAAUUCCUGGUGUAGCGGUGAAAUGCGCAGAUAUCAGGAAGAACACCCGUGGCGAAGGCGGCUCUCUGGUACGUGACUGACGCUGAGACGCGAAAGCGUGGGGAGCGAACAGG